CCAAAAAAAUAAAACAAUUCUUAUUUCUAAACAACUUUAUUUCUUAAAACUUCUAAGAAUAAAACGAAACAAAAACGUAAUUACUUCACAAGUAACGUUAUAAAAUAGGUAAAAUUAGCUUAUCAUCUGGCUACGCAGGUUCGCUCUUGUGCAAACCAGUUUAAAUUGUGCCACUCAGAGAAAGAAAUAAGACAAACUUAUGUAUCCAAUGAAGCUAACUUACGGUACCUAUAUGAUGAAACUUUUAACCCGGUGUAACAAAUCAAAACUACUUCAGAUGGUAAAGUCGUAGCUUGUCAACAAUAACUGCAUUUUAUAUAUUCACUGUAAAUUUACACACUGAUGCGAUUUCAAGAACUGCGAAUUCUGUGAGCUCUGAAAAUCUGAAUGAUCUUUUCAAUUGGAAUUUUACUAUUGACUUGUGUGACUACUUCCGCUUUUAAGCUAAGCAUUUAAAAUAAAAUAGAAAUUGAAGUGGUAGACGAUGUUUUUCGGCCUACGUUUAUAAAUUAUACACUCAAAUGUUCUUCAUUGGAAAACUCGGUGCGAGACUCCGAUUCGCACCUGAUCUGGAGGACUAUUGCUAUAAAUUUCUUUAAACAAUUUCGUUCGUAUACUGCAACAUUAUAAAAAAUUUAAAGAUAAUAUGGCCACGAAUGGAAAAUACAAACUAUAUUUCAUUUAAAGAUAUUCCUCAAUUCUCGUCGCUGAUAAAACUAUCACAAUAUCUGUCAAUCACAAUUGUUUAAAGUCUUUUACCCACAUUAUCAAUAUUGAAAUAAUAUCGAUUUUACAAGAAAAAUAAAACUGCUGAGCAAUCUCUUAACUUAAAAUAAUUAUGACUACAUAAUAUAAGAGUUAACUUGUUUAUAAUAUUUGCUUGGAAAUACAGAAGCUAAUACUAGUCUACUGAAAGUAAAACUUCGUAUUCCGAAGAAAUCAGUGUUUGUAUGAGACUACAUAUUUAAGUCAUUCGUAAAAUACGUAAGGGGAUGGAAUGGUUGGGGGUUGAAAGGGAUGGGUGCAGUGUAACCUAUAUGUUACUUGUUUGAAGAGUGCUGUAAUAUAGGUUGGGAUGGAAUGAGCCAACGCCAUUUUGAAAUAUAUUUUUAAGAAUGACUUGAGGAUUGCUUCACCUGUUGCUGAUAAACAUUACAUACAAGUUGCUACGGAAGGUUGUACCGAUACUAAUAGACUUCAACUUUUGAAUUUACAGGUAGUCAAUAAAUCAUAACAACCGCUCUGGUGUUGUGAUGCGAGUAGUUGCCUAAAACACCGACGGUUUGCGGGUUCGAUUCCCGCUCGAGAUGAAUACUUGUUUUUGUACAAAUAUUUCUUUCCGGUUUGGAUAUCUGUCCUUGUUGGGUCUCUCCACCGUGCUGCGGAGGGCACGUUAAGCCGUCAGUCCCGGUGGUUAUCAUAAAUACCUGACAGCAAUCGUUACUCAUAGUAGGGAACGUAUCCUCCAACCCGCAGUGGAGCAGCGUGAUGGAUUAAGCUCCAAUCCUUCUCCUCCAUUGAGAAGGGGCAUUGCGAAUAAAUUAUUUGUAAAAAAUGCGACUUGCUGGUGAAAAAAAAAAAAAAUAUAUAUAUAUGUGUGUGUUGGAUACUGUUAUUCGUAAGAUAGUUUACUAGCACCGUGUGAAACAAGCCUUUUUUUGAUAGAAUAAAAACAAACGGAAGUUAAACAAAAACAUUACAACAAAUACCAUUAAACUACACAAAAUACGAUAACUAGAAAUACCUACAUGACAUUACUACCUCUAUUAAAAAAAGCACGUAAAAAAUCGGUGGUAUUUCACACAGAUUUUAUUCAAUGUUACUAGAACUAGUUAGCUUAACAAAUAAAACAUUAACUUAUAUAGCAUUUUUGUUAUGUUUUUUUUAAUGUUUUACAAUAAAGAGUAUUUACUAUUAUUAUUAUUGCUUGGCUCUUAAGCUUAAAAUACAU
Molecule: unclassified non-coding RNA, 1951 nt
Filed under: Melitaea cinxia (Glanville fritillary)
Lineage: Eukaryota; Metazoa; Arthropoda; Insecta; Lepidoptera; Nymphalidae
Description: misc RNA ENSMCXG00005016012.1
Source: RNAcentral